UGCCAGCANHMGCGGUUAAACUUAUGUGUCAGGCUAAGACUAUAUAGGUUAAAACGUUUGUUUUAAAAAUUUUUUAAGAUGUUAAAUGCUAUAAAAAUUCACCGAUCAAAACGAAAAACUAAUAAAUCUAUGGGAGAGACUAGGAUUAGAUACCCUAUUAUUCAUAGACUAAAUAAUUUAACCUAAUGACUAAAAGUGUAUGCUUCAAAGUUAAAGAAUAUGGCUAACUUUUAAACAUUGGGGGAAUCUGUUAAUGAAAUCAAUAAUCCAUGUUUAUUUUUACCUAAGUUAAUAAAUUUGUUUAUUGUCGUUAAUUCUGGUUAUAAUAAGAAAUAAACUCAGUAAUACUUUUAUAAAGUAAUAAAUCAGAUAAUCAUGCAAAAUACUCAGGAUUUAAUAGAUUACAUUGUAUAAAAAUAGAAGAAAUUUUAUUAUAAAUAGAACUCAAAAGUAAUAAAAUUUUAAAAAGAUUUUAUGAAUAGUUAAUAUUAUUAGUACAAACCGCCCGUCGGCCUUUCUUAACAGAAAGAWAAGUCGUAACACAGUA
This 547-nucleotide ribosomal RNA is filed under the name Plagioecia patina. Its description in RNAcentral is "partial 12S ribosomal RNA". The record is from RNAcentral. Lineage: Eukaryota; Metazoa; Bryozoa; Stenolaemata; Cyclostomatida; Plagioeciidae.